GGUACUUCAAGGUUCCCCAGAAUUGAUUGAGCCUAAUUUUUUGACUUCAGAUUGUCAUUUGUUGCUUCACUCUUCAAGUGUCAGUACUUUAGUACUAGAUGACAAACCUGGUCUUCUUGGCACUUUUGACAUGGAUGAAGGAAUGACAUAUGAACAAAUGCAGACUGUAAUUGAAGAGGUUCUGGAGGAAUGUGGAUAUUACAAUUUUACCUCAAGCAGGUAUCAAUACUAUCCAUGGGGAGCAAGAAAUCAUCCAGCCAGAAGAUGAGCACCUGCAAUUUUGACUACAUUGGCGGAUUUUCUACUAAGGUCUAAAUAUCUUGACUUUAGCUGUUAUUUUCCAUUGCUAAAGGGAAACAGAAACACUACAUAAAACACAGGACAAAAGGAAACACCCAGGAAAUAGAAAUAAUUUAGAUCUUCUCUGUAGCUUACAAAGAAUCAUUAAGCAGUAGAACUCUAAUACAUAUCUCUGGCAGUAGGUAUAUGCAAUAUAGUUUUGGUGUCAAGAUAUGGUUUAUGCAAAAUGUAAACAUUCUUCCAAGUACUUUGACUAAGAUGACAAUGCACAGUUCCUCAGCCCAUUCUUGAUUUAUUGAAUGGCCUGUUGAAUACUCAGGUUUAUUAGAAAUCUUAAUUUUUACAAAUUUCUUAAUAUCAGAGAAUCUAUUUUUUUUAUAAUAGAAUAUAUUUUUGGACAGAGAGCAAUUCAGAAUGUCUAAGGAAGGGGGACAAAGUCUAACUAUAUUAAAAUCAAAAAUAGCUUGGGAAUCAGAAAUGAGCAUUCCAAAUACUGCUUUAAUUACUUGAAAUAGUUGGGAGUUAUGCUGCAAAUAUAAUAUAGACAGUAUUUACAACUUUCACAAUUUCUAACAUUUGUUAAAUCCAAAGAUUAGAGCAUGGAACAUGCUUAGAUUCUAUAAAUAGGUAAAUAUCAAUAUCUAAUAUAGAUAUAGAUAUAGAUGUAAAGCCACAGAUAAACCUGUAGAGUUAUAUUUAUAUUAAAUAAAUAAUUAAUUAUUAUUGCUAAUUAGAUAUGUGGCAAACAUUGCACUUUUGAAAAACUGAAAGUCUUUCUGAAAAAUGUUUGUAAAAUAGUAAUGCGCACAUUAUUGUUAUCUGGACAUUUCUUUACCUUUGGCAUAUUUUCAGCUUUACUAAAUCUUCAAUUUAGUUCAAUUUAGUAAAUGUAUGUUAUCUACAGUGAUGUUGUAAAUGUUAUAGAUCGGAUGUAAUAUUUCCAAAUUCCACUAACUUUUUAAAAUCAGAAUAUAUUUGAAAAUUUUAAUAUAGGCUUUAAUCUUUGGACAUGUAAGGUGAAGGGUAACAUCAAAUAUUGUGUUAGGGGAUUGAAAGAGAAAAGGAAAUCAAUUCUACCAACUAUAUCUGUUGGUAGUUACACUGUUGUUUACAUAAAAUGUAAUGUAUAUGUAUGUUAACAAUAUGUUUGAAGUUACACGCUUAUAGUAAUUUAAAUUACAAGGGGGCAUAUUACUUAAUAUAGUAUACCAUAUUUAGUUGAGGGAGACAUAGAUGGAGACCAAGGAAAAAAGUUUGUUCAGAUUUGCUAUUCUAACAUAUCUUAAUCUUCUAUAAAUGAUCAAAUGGAUUUGAGAUAAAUGAAAAAGAACAUCAAAAAUCAAAUCAAACCCAAAUAAGAAAACUGCAACAAAAUAUCACAAAGCAAAAAUACCAUCUAGCAUUGCCAUUUGUCACUUUCAAAAAGCAGUAAUAUUUCAGUAAUAUUUCACACAUAUUUCUUCUACAUUUAGGUGUUAAAGUUGGUAAUGACGAUGCACAAACUGAAAUUUUCAGUAGGAUUGCAUGACUCAGAGUUUGGCUAGGUUCCUAUAUGUAUGUACAGUAUGUUUUAGGGGCUAUUGAUCUUCUUUGCAUUUUGCUUGUUCACCACAAUAAAAUCAAUUGAACCAAGCAGUUGCAUGGUUCAUGGUGGCAAAUAUUUUUACAUAAUAAUUUUAUUCAAGAAAUUUCAUGUGAAAACUAUUAGUUCUGAUAGAUAUUGAUAUACAACAAAAUUUCAUAGAAAAAAUAGAAAAUAAUACAGUGACAAUUGCAAAGGGGGGUUUCAAGAUGUCAUCCACAGAAUCAUGAUGAAAACUCCACCCCUUUCUUCAUGUAUCAGAUAUUGGCAUACAUACAAAAGAGGCAGAUUUAAAUAACAAAGCCACAACCACUGUCUUGCUGCUGCCUACAAACACCACUGAAUUCAGCAGUCAAAAAUUAAAAACAGGCCAAAUUCUGCUCAGACUGCAUUGCCUCAAAAGUGAUUCUUAAUAAUUAAGGAAUUGAUAGCUCUGAGUCAUGUCAAAUACGUUUUGCUAAAAUUGAUAGAAACUGGUUACCCAAGAAUCUGUUUGAAUCCAAAGUGUCUAUCUCUCACAGUUUUUUAUACUUAGAUUCUGUCCUCUUCCAAAUUAAGCCAGUGCAGAUUUACAUGUGGUUCUUCAAACUAUAGACAACAGAAGGGGCAGCUUUUCAGGUAUAAAAGGCAUGCUAUAAAUUUCAAGGAAACUCUGUUUCCUAUCACUGCUGAUAUAGCAGUGUAGUUAACAAUCUUUGUAGUUGUAUAAAUUUCCUUCUAAUUUUUUAAUGCUCUUAGGAUAGACCAAAUGCUUGUAAAAUGAUACUGAAUCUGAGAGUACCAUUUGUAAUGACUUUGAAAUGGGAACCAUAUGAGAGUAUGAUUAUACAUUUUGAAAUUUCAAAUAAUAAAGCAUGUUGAUUACUUUUUAAAAAAUGUUUGUAAUUAUAGAGAUAACCUUCAAAACUCAGCAUUUACUAUCUUGGGAAUAAAAGUAAAAAUAUAGCAUUUUUUUAGUUUUAGAAUAUCAGGCUACCAAAAUCAAGGUCAAACAUUACAUUCACUUUUAAUUUGACUAUUAAUUUAAAAUAUCAUCUAAUGAAAACAGAACAAUCAUUCCAGACACUGAAAUUGAGAAACUUUCUAAUGAUUUUGAUCUAUAUUUUCUUAAAACAAUUAUGUUUUCAAGAGUCAGCAGGAAAA
Molecule: long non-coding RNA, 3025 nt
Organism: Ahaetulla prasina
Lineage: Eukaryota; Metazoa; Chordata; Lepidosauria; Squamata; Colubridae
Exons: 4
Source: RefSeq, a predicted model, not a curated record